UCGAACGAACCUUCGGGUUAGUGGCGGACGGGUGAGUAACGCGUGGGAAUCUGCCCUCAGGAGGGGGAUAACGGUUGGAAACGGCCGCUAAUACCCCAUAUGCCGAGAGGUGAAAUGAAUUUCGCCUGAGGAUGAGCCCGCGUCUGAUUAGCUAGUUGGUGAGGUAAGAGCUCACCAAGGCAUCGAUCAGUAGCUGGUCUGAGAGGAUGAUCAGCCACACUGGGACUGAGACACGGCCCAGACUCCUACGGGAGGCAGCAGUGGGGAAUUUUCCGCAAUGGGCGAAAGCCUGACGGAGCAACGCCGCGUGAGGGAUGAAGGCCUCUGGGCUGUAAACCUCUUUUAUCAAGGAAGAAGAUCUGACGGUACUUGAUGAAUAAGCCACGGCUAAUUCCGUGCCAGCAGCCGCGGUAAUACGGGAGUGGCAAGCGUUAUCCGGAAUUAUUGGGCGUAAAGCGUCCGCAGGCGGCCCAACAAGUCUGCUGUUAAAAAGUGGAGCUUAACUCCAUCAUGGCAGUGGAAACUGUUGGGCUCGAGUGUGGUAGGGGCAGAGGGAAUUCCCGGUGUAGCGGUGAAAUGCGUAGAUAUCGGGAAGAACACCAGUGGCGAAGGCGCUCCGCUGGGCCAUCACUGACGCUCAUGGACGAAAGCCAGGGGAGCGAAAGGGAUUAGAUACCCCUGUAGUCCUGGCCGUAAACGAUGAACACUAGGUGUCGGGGGAAUCGACCCCUCCGGUGUCGUAGCCAACGCGUUAAGUGUUCCGCCUGGGGAGUACGCACGCAAGUGUGAAACUCAAAGGAAUUGACGGGGGCCCGCACAAGCGGUGGAGUAUGUGGUUUAAUUCGAUGCAACGCGAAGAACCUUACCAGGGUUUGACAUCCUGCGAAUCUCUUGGAAACUUGAGAGUGCCUUCGGGAGCGCAGUGACAGGUGGUGCAUGGCUGUCGUCAGCUCGUGUCGCGAGAUGUUGGGUUAAGUCCCGCAACGAGCGCAACCCACGUCUUUAGUUGCCAGCAUUUAGUUGGGCACUCUAGAGAGACCGCCGGUGAUAAACCGGAAGAAAGGUGUGGAUGACGUCAAGUCAUCAUGCCCCUU
This 1094-nucleotide ribosomal RNA is filed under the name uncultured bacterium. RNAcentral describes it as "bacterial SSU rRNA". It matches the Rfam family "Bacterial small subunit ribosomal RNA", at positions 62 to 1203 of the family's 1533-position model. The record is from RNAcentral.